CCUACGGGUGGCAGCAGUGGGGAAUAUUGGGCAAUGGGCGAAAGCCUGACCCAGCAACGCCGCGUGAAGGAAGAAGGCUUUCGGGUUGUAAACUUCUUUUGACAGGGAAGAGCAGAAGACGGUACCUGUCGAAUAAGCUACGGCUAACUACGUGCCAGCAGCCGCGGUAAUACGUAGGUGGCAACCGCUGUCCGGAUUUACUGGGGGUAAAGGGCGUGUAUCCGGGCUGACAAGUCAGAUGUGAAAUCCGGGGGCGCAACGCCCGAACUGCAUUUGAAACUGUUGGUCUUGAGUGUCGGAGAGGCAGGCGGAAUUCCUGGUGUAGCAGUGAAAUGCGUAGAUAUUAGGAGGAACACCAGUGGCGAAGGCGGCCUGCUGGACGACAACUGACGGUGAGGCGCGAAAGCGUGGGGAGCAAACAGGAUUAGAUACCCCAGUAGUC
This 442-nucleotide ribosomal RNA is filed under the name uncultured bacterium. Its description in RNAcentral is "partial 16S ribosomal RNA". It matches the Rfam family "Bacterial small subunit ribosomal RNA", at positions 338 to 795 of the family's 1533-position model. The record is from RNAcentral.